GUGAAUCAUCAAAUCUUUGAACGCAUAUUGCACUCUCUGGUAUUCCGGUGAGUAUGCCUGUGUGAGGGUAAUUAAAAAGAAUCUUUAACCAAUGUUUUUUGGUCAAAGGAAAUGAGUUCACCGCGUUUAUAGCGGUAGCUUGAAAUAAAUGGUCAAGUCUCAUUUUAGUCUAGACGCGUAAUAAUAUUAUUUCGCGAAAUCUUCAGUAUGUAACGAUCAAGUUUUGAUUCAUACGAAUUUGGUUUGUAUGCAGUUAAUACAAAUAUUUUGAACAUUACCUCAAAUCAGUUAGGAUUACCCG
Molecule: unclassified non-coding RNA, 301 nt
Filed under: Ambisporaceae sp.
Lineage: Eukaryota; Fungi; Glomeromycota; Glomeromycetes; Archaeosporales; Ambisporaceae
Description: partial contains 5.8S ribosomal RNA and internal transcribed spacer 2
Rfam family: 5.8S ribosomal RNA (bases 1-71)
Source: RNAcentral